This 1725-nucleotide long non-coding RNA is filed under the name Medicago truncatula (barrel medic). RNAcentral's name for it is "long non-coding RNA (MTRU_LNC005324)". Lineage: Eukaryota; Viridiplantae; Streptophyta; Magnoliopsida; Fabales; Fabaceae. The record is from RNAcentral.
AGAAAUAAUAUUAUAGAUUGAAAAGAAAAUGAGUAAAUAGGCAAUUACCCCCCUGAAAUUGUAAGUUUCGUCAAUUACCCCCCUGAAAUUGCACAACGUUAAUCAAUUUACCCCCUCCGUCAAAUUUUUCUGUUAGUCAACAUGACGUUUUGCAAAUACCCCCCUGAAGUUUUGCAGUUAUGUGCAAAAUGCCCCCUAAACUUGAAAAUUCAUUUUUUUUUUCUUAUCCUAAAAUUCAUUUUUUUUCUUCUUAUCCAAAACAUGCAAAUUUGGACUUAGUAAUUGGCCAAUGAAAAUUGAUAUAUUAUCCAACAACCUGAGUGACUAUAGAAUGGUGAAAGCUGAACAAAAAAGGAUCAAAAGGGUCUUGUGCAAAGCGUUAAAAAUGUAAUCAAAUGUGUUAAUUUAAUAGUUGAAGGUGAACUUAACAAAAGAAUGGUAAAGCGUUCAAAAUCAUGCCAAAAAAACUGAAAUUCAAUCGUUGAAAGUUUAAAGCUAAUGCAAUCGAAGCUGCUCAAAUAAAAUGGUUCAUUAUGAUUCACAUUUAGGGAUUCAGAAACACAUGUAGUCGAUCAUGUAACCGAAUAAAAAAGAUGAGCAAUAGUCACUCCUUUUCUAAACUAAGACAAGACAAUAAUAUAAUAUGUCACCACUUAUAACCAUAUAUGGAGUAAUUGCCUAUUUAAUCCAUAUAUAUCCUAAAAUUUAUAUGGAGUAACGCAGCCAUAUAUUUUGACAUCUUGGUUAUGCCAAUUAUAUGUCAUUUAUGUGUUUCAUCAUGUAUGCCAUGCAUUAGUUUGAUCGUUUCAGGGAACAUAUAUGGUUGUAUACCGACAAAACUUAGCUAAUAUGCUUCACAAUCAGUGACAAUGCAGUCACUUUUAAGGAUAAGAAAAAAAAAAUAUAAAUUUUCAAGUUCAGGGGGCAUUUUGCACAUAAGUGCAAAACUUCAGGGGGGGUAUUUGCAAAAUGUCAUGUUGACUAACAGAAAAAUUUGACGGAGGGAGUAAAUUGAUUAACGUUGUGCAAUUUCAGGGGGGUAAUUGAAGUUUUGUUAAUUUCAGGGGAGUAAUUGACGAAACUUACAAUUUCAGGGGGAUAAUUGCCUAUUUACUCAAAAGAAAAUAUUACAGAAGAUUCCCUCUGUAAUCCUAGAGCAAAAGCUCCUCAGAGAAGAGACAUUUCUCUCUCUCUCUCUCUCUGCCCAAAACCAAUAAGGUUCCUAAUUGAAUAAUUCUGAAUUCUCCCUACUGUUGUGGCCAAAUGGCCUUAUUUAUACAAACAAAGGGCAUAAACUGCCUGUAACUGCUCCUAAUCAAUACAAAUUUGCAUAAACUGCCCAACUGCUCCUAAUCAACACAAAUACUGCAUAUUAUAUAAAAUGCUAACUGCUCCUAAAUAACUAUAUAUUAAAAUAACUGACUAUUUAUUGAAAUAACUGACUGCAUGUUACCCUAUCAAUACCACCAGAUACCUAACAAUAUGCUUCAGACUAGAUAUUGUCAUUAGUUUGGUACAUUAAGCAUAUUAAGAUCUUGCUGUAUUGCUAUUUAGAUGUGUUCAUGAUCCUAAUCAUAUCCAAAUAAAAACCAAUUAAAUGGAUUAGAUUAGCCAAACAAGAUUUUUUCCAAAACUGAAUUAACAAAAACCUGGUUUCGGAUAUGGUUGUAGUUUGUGGCUUCCAACCGGAUAUUUUGCUCACCCCUACUCCUGUUGGCUGAAUAU